Molecule: non-coding RNA, 29 nt
Filed under: Macaca fascicularis (crab-eating macaque)
Lineage: Eukaryota; Metazoa; Chordata; Mammalia; Primates; Cercopithecidae
Also listed under: 1 other name
Source: RNAcentral
UGCCACCUGAAUGACCUGGAGAAGAGUCU